AGUGAACGCUGGCGGCAGGCCUAACACAUGCAAGUCGAACGGAAGCACAGUAAGAGUUUGCUGUUACGGGUGGCGGGUGGCGGACGGGGGAGGAGUACAUCGGAAUCUAGUUUUUCGCGGGGGAUAACGGAGGGAAACCUACGCUAAUAUCGCAUACCACCUUCGGGGGAAAGGGGGGGAUCUUCUGACCUGGCGCGCUUGGAUGAGCCGAUGUCGGACUGGCUAGUUGGCGGGGUAAAGGCCCACCAAGGCGAGGAUACGUAGCUGGCCGGAGAGGAAGAUCGGCCACACUGUAACUGAGACACGGUCCAGACUCCUACGGGGGGCCGCAGUGGGGAAUAUUAGGCAAUGGGGGCGAGCCUGAUACAGCCAUACCGCGUAGGUGAAGAAGGCGUUCGGGUUGUAAAGCCCUUUUGUCGGGAGAGAAAAGCAGCAGGUUCAUACCCCGCUGUUCUGACGGUACCCGACGAAUAAGCACCGGCUAACUUCGUG
RNAcentral lists this ribosomal RNA (492 nucleotides) under uncultured bacterium. RNAcentral's name for it is "partial 16S ribosomal RNA". It matches the Rfam family "Bacterial small subunit ribosomal RNA", at positions 30 to 507 of the family's 1533-position model. The record is from RNAcentral.